CCUACGGGGGGCAGCAGUGAGGAAUAUUGGUCAAUGGACGAGAGUCUGAACCAGCCAAGUAGCGUGAAGGAUGACUGCCCUAUGGGUUGUAAACUUCUUUUAUAUGGGAAUAAAAUGUUCCACGUGUGGGAUUUUGUAUGUACCAUAUGAAUAAGGAUCGGCUAACUCCGUGCCAGCAGCCGCGGUAAUACGGAGGAUCCGAGCGUUAUCCGGAUUUAUUGGGUUUAAAGGGAGCGUAGGUGGAUUGUUAAGUCAGUUGUGAAAGUUUGCGGCUCAACCGUAAAAUUGCAGUUGAAACUGGCAGUCUUGAAUACAGUAGAGGUGGGCGGAAUUCGUGGUGUAGCGGUGAAAUGCUUAGAUAUCACGAAGAACUCCGAUUGCGAAGGCAGUUCACUGGACUGCAACUGACACUGAGGCUCGAAAGUGUGGGUAUCAAACAGGAUUAGAUACCCUAGUAGUC
Molecule: ribosomal RNA, 460 nt
Filed under: uncultured bacterium
Lineage: Bacteria
Description: partial 16S ribosomal RNA
Rfam family: Bacterial small subunit ribosomal RNA
Source: RNAcentral